CUCCGUGCCCGAUCCUCCCACCCUUUGUGUACCUACCUCUGUUGCUUUGGCGGGCCGCGGUCCUCCGCGGCCGCCCCCCUCCCCGGGGGGUGGCCAGCGCCCGCCAGAGGACCAUCAAACUCCAGUCAGUAAACGAUGCAGUCUGAAAAACAUUUAAUAAACUAAAACUUUCAACAACGGAUCUCUUGGUUCUGGCAUCGAUGAAGAACGCAGCGAAAUGCGAUAAGUAAUGUGAAUUGCAGAAUUCAGUGAAUCAUCGAAUCUUUGAACGCACAUUGCGCCCUUUGGUAUUCCGAAGGGCAUGCCUGUUCGAGCGUCAUUACAACCCUCAAGCUCUGCUUGGUAUUGGGCACCGUCCUUUGCGGGCGCGCCUCAAAGACCUCGGCGGUGGCGUCUUGCCUCAAGCGUAGUAGAACAUACAUCUCGCUUCGGAGCGCAGGGCGUCGCCCGCCGGACGAACCUUCUGAACUUUUCUCAAGGUUGACCUCGGAUCAGGUAGGGAUACCCGCUGAACUUAAGCAUAUCAAUAAGCGGAGGAA
Molecule: ribosomal RNA, 539 nt
Filed under: Botryosphaeria dothidea
Lineage: Eukaryota; Fungi; Ascomycota; Dothideomycetes; Botryosphaeriales; Botryosphaeriaceae
Description: eukaryotic LSU rRNA
Rfam family: 5.8S ribosomal RNA (bases 166-319)
Source: RNAcentral